Molecule: long non-coding RNA, 2229 nt
Organism: Cyprinus carpio carpio
Lineage: Eukaryota; Metazoa; Chordata; Actinopteri; Cypriniformes; Cyprinidae
Source: Ensembl
GGUUUAAUCUCGUCGGGUUCCUGAUCACCAUGUUGGGGGUUAUUCUGCGAAAACAACAGGCUGGAUGUACAUUAUAUCUUACUUAACACACAAGACAUAUUCAACAGAGCAACGAAUCGACGAGUCACCAUGGAAAUGGACAAAAGCACGAUGGAAAUGGAGUGGGAGUGUUGGGGAGCUGGAUAAGAUGGAAGUGGCUGAGAGGAGACAAAAAUAAAACCCAAUUUCAACAAUAGCUCAAACCCCUGCCUCAGUGUCUACAGGAAGACGAGCCAGCGCACCAUCAGCAAGUCCUGGAAUUUUGUAUUCCGCUGUAGGGAGUUUUUUUAAGCUUUAUUUUUCACAGACGUCCUUGAAAAUAAGGCAGGGCGACUAAACAGUUGUGGCACUUAAAAAAAGUAUUUCUGGGAGAAAAAAAAGAAGUGAACCACCUGAAACCUAUGGACACUAACCGCUAAUUUUGUCCCUCUUCUUCUUCUUUUUUAGAGGCUACAGUGAGGUGGGAGCUUACAAUGGAAAUGAAUGUUGUUGGUUUUUAGAAGGUUUAAAUGCAGAAUAGCAAAGCUUGUAAUUGUAAAAUCACUUACAUUGUUAUUAUUUAAAGUUAUGUAUUAUUUCAGCUGCAAAGUUUUUCUUGUCAGUUUUAUGAUCAUUUAAGGUACAGUAGUACGCUGUCAUGGCAACAGUGUUGUAAAAUGAAAUAAAAUUUUACAUGGAAAAAUCUGGAAAGCUUUUAUAUAUUUUAUAUUUGCCACACUAAAAUCAUAUUAAUGCACAUUUUGAUUAAAUAUUGUGGAUUUUAUUGUGUCUAUUUUAACAUUGAUUUUUAUUAACAUUCAUCACAAUGUGUCCAUUCAUUUCCAUGUGAAGCUCAUAAUGUAUAAAUCAUGAAAAUCAUUGUUUAAAAAAAAUUAAUUGUUGUUAUUUUUAUCAUUUUAUUUAUUUAUUGUUAAAAGCUGUGCAUUAUUUGAGCUCUAAAGUUGUUCUUGUCAGUUUUAUGGUCAUUUUAGUCAGCUGUCAUAGCAACUUAGCUGUCAUAGCAACAAGCAUAUAAUUUUACAUAUAACUUUACAAGUUUAUUUAUUUAUUAAUGCCACACUAAACUCAUGUUAACACACUUUGUUUACAUAUUGUGGCUUUAUCAUUGUUUAAACAGUAUUAUUACUGUAUUAAAUUAUUUACGCUGACCCCAUUCAUUUCCAUUGUAAGUGUUUUAUUGUAACCCCGAUUUAGUCUUUUUUGUAAACAAAAAAAGAGAUGAGCCAAAAUGAAUGUUGAUUGAGUUGAACUUGUACUGAACCUGGAAUAUUCCUUUGAUUUUUCCUGAAAUUCCCCCUCUUGGUUUCUUUUUCCUUCAUGGAGUCACUGCUCGAUUAGCUUUGUGUGUCCAACAUGUGAAUCCUGUCUGACGUGUAUAGAACGGAUGGAUUAAGAGUUUUCUGUCCAUCCUGGUCAGAUGGCAUUACAUAUCAGACCUAUCAUCCCCUCAAAUGACAGCAAAUUACUGCGACGCUGUCAGGUAUGAGCUCUAAUCACACUCAGCUCUCCAGAGGGAAUAUAAUCACACCCCAGCCUCACUGCAACUCAGCAAAUGGAUUAAAAACUGCCCUCUGACAUCCACAGAAGACCUUUUCACAGAAAAACACCAUGGAUUUGCCAUAUAAUAUAACAUGGGAAAACCAUCACAGUAAUAUCAUGGUGUUCUUUGUAAAUACAAUGGUGUAUGAUGAUGACAUAGUACGACAGUGGCCCAAAAAAAGUACUUGAGCCACACUUAAAAUGUAUGAAUAUCAUUUCAUUAGAUAGCAAAAUUUGAAACCAAGUGGCAAACAAAUGACUUCAAAUGAUUUUCCCAGGAAUAAAUUACAUUUUCUUACCCAUGUUUUGAAACGAUAUUUAAAGUAACUGGUGUGUUGUUGAUUUUCAGAUUUUAACUAUGCCACCAUCGACACCGCGUCUUGUUUUGUUUAUAUGCUUGGACGGCUGCUGCAGCAGAACACUGAUUGAUUUGUUGCCAUGUCCACUCAUUAUAAGCGUCUUUGGGCUUGUUGUUUAGGCUUAGCUCAUAAAGAGAUCCAGUGUAUGGAACUGAUAGGGACAGGAAUAAAAAAAGGCAGGUGAUUAUGGAGGAGAGUAGGUCUUGUUUCCAAUAUAAAGCAUUUGGAUUUAUUCAGGAUUAUGGUUGUCUUGUUCGUUUUUUUUUUUUUUUUUUCUAGCAAUUAUGGUGCC